UACACACCGCCCGUCACACCAUGGAAGUCUGCAAUGCCCGAAGCCGGUGGCCUAACCACUUAUGUGGAAGGAGCCGUCUAAGGCAGGGCAGAUGACUGGGGUGAAGUCGUAACAAGGUAUC
This 121-nucleotide ribosomal RNA is filed under the name uncultured bacterium. RNAcentral's name for it is "partial 16S ribosomal RNA". It matches the Rfam family "Bacterial small subunit ribosomal RNA", at positions 1384 to 1500 of the family's 1533-position model. The record is from RNAcentral.